This 486-nucleotide ribosomal RNA is filed under the name uncultured Acidobacteriota bacterium. RNAcentral's name for it is "bacterial SSU rRNA". It matches the Rfam family "Bacterial small subunit ribosomal RNA", at positions 224 to 704 of the family's 1533-position model. The record is from RNAcentral. Lineage: Bacteria; Pseudomonadati; Acidobacteriota.
GAGGAGCCUGCGGCGGAUUAGCUAGUUGGUAGGGUAACGGCUUACCAAGGCGACGGUCCGUAACCGGCCUGAGAGGGCGGUCGGUCACACUGACACUGACAUACGGGUCAGACUCCUACGGGAGGCAGCAGUCGGGAAUUUUGGGCAAUGGGCGAAAGCCUGACCCAGCAACGCCGCGUGAAGGAUGAAAUCCCUCGGGAUGUAAACUUCGCAAGAAUGGGAAGAAUGAGCGAGCGCUAAUACCGUUCGUGAUGACGGUACCAUUUGUAAGCUCCGGCUAACUCCGUGCCAGCAGCCGCGGUAAUACGGGGGGAGCAAGCGUUGUUCGGAUUUACUGGGCGUAAAGGGCGCGUAGGCGGCCAGCGCAAGUCAGUUGUGAAAUCUCCGGGCUUAACUCGGAAAGGUCAACUGAUACUGCGCGGCUAGAGUGCGGAAGGGGCAACUGGAAUUCUCGGUGUAGCGGUGAAAUGCGUAGAUAUCGAGAGG